This 254-nucleotide ribosomal RNA is filed under the name uncultured bacterium. Its description in RNAcentral is "partial 16S ribosomal RNA". It matches the Rfam family "Bacterial small subunit ribosomal RNA", at positions 524 to 776 of the family's 1533-position model. The record is from RNAcentral.
UACGGGGGGGGGCAAGCGUUGUUCGGAAUUACUGGGCGUAAAGGGCUCGUAGGCGGCCAACUAAGUCGGACGUGAAAUCCCUCGGCUUAACCGGGGAACUGCGUCCGAUACUGGAUGGCUUGAGUUUGGGAGAGGGAUGCGGAAUUCCAGGUGUAGCGGUGAAAUGCGUAGAUAUCAGGAGGAACACCAAUGGCGAAGGCAGCUCGCUGGAACGGUACUGACGCUGAGGCGCGAAAGCGUGGGGAGCGAACAGG